GGUCACGACCAUACCACGUCUGAUCAUCGAAGUUAAGCAACGUCGGGCCCGGUUAGUACGCGCAUGGGUGACCGGCUGGUAACAGCGGGUGUGGUAGCCG
Molecule: ribosomal RNA, 100 nt
Filed under: Echinostoma caproni
Lineage: Eukaryota; Metazoa; Platyhelminthes; Trematoda; Plagiorchiida; Echinostomatidae
Source: RNAcentral